This 428-nucleotide ribosomal RNA is filed under the name uncultured bacterium. Its description in RNAcentral is "bacterial SSU rRNA". It matches the Rfam family "Bacterial small subunit ribosomal RNA", at positions 355 to 776 of the family's 1533-position model. The record is from RNAcentral.
UCGAGAAUUUUUCACAAUGGGCGAAAGCCUGAUGGAGCGACGCCGCGUGGGGGAUGAAUGGCUUCGGCCCGUAAACCCCUGUCAUUUGCGAACAAACCUUACCGGUUAAUACCCGGUGAGCUGAUUGUAGCGGAAGAGGAAGGGACGGCUAACUCUGUGCCAGCAGCCGCGGUAAUACAGAGGUCCCGAGCGUUGUUCGGAUUCACUGGGCGUAAAGGGUGCGUAGGUGGUGAGGUAAGUCGGAUGUGAAAUCUCCGGGCUCAACCCGGAAAUGGCAUUGGAAACUACCUUGCUGGAGGAUUUGAGGGGGGAUUGGAAUACUUGGUGUAGCAGUGAAAUGCGUAGAUAUCAAGUGGAACACCAGUGGCGAAGGCGAAUCCCUGGAAAAUACCUGACACUGAGGCACGAAAGCUAGGGGAGCAAACAGG